UACGUAGGGUGCAAGCGUUAAUCGGAAUUACUGGGCGUAAAGCGCACGUAGGCGGGUUGUUAAGUCAGGGGUGAAAUCCUGGAGCUCAACUCCAGAACUGCCUUUGAUACUGGCAACCUAGAGACUGGAAGAGGUUAGUGGAAUUCCCAGUGUAGAGGUGAAAUUCGUAGAUAUUGGGAAGAACACCAGUGGCGAAGGCGGCUAACUGGUCCAGCACUGACGCUGAGGUGCGAAAGCGUGGGGAGCAAACAGG
Molecule: ribosomal RNA, 253 nt
Filed under: uncultured bacterium
Lineage: Bacteria
Description: partial 16S ribosomal RNA
Rfam family: Bacterial small subunit ribosomal RNA
Source: RNAcentral